AAUUCCUCCUCUGUUGAACUCGCCUUCAGACCUACUAACGAUUGAAAUCAUGAUCCCAUAAUUUUCUCCCCUUUAGAAUUGUUUCCUUUUUUUAUUCCAUCCAAGGUUUCGCAUCUGCUCCUCUGCUCCACCAGCAUCCAGACACCAUAAUCCUUAUCUACAGUAACCACAAAAGUUGUAGAGGUUUGUUCCAACAUCUUUCCUUUCUCUUUCACCUCUAAAGAAUGUGUGACAAACGGACAGGCUCCUUGAUGUGUCCAUAACAACCACACUUAAAGCAUACCACAGGUAUGUUUUCAUACUCAAUCCUUUGAGGGUUACCAUUGAUGAGAAUCUUAGAAACUAAAGGUCUCCCUAAAUUGACAUAAACUGCCAUGCGAGUAUAACAACCCCGUGCUCUGCUUUUUUAAAUCUAAUUUUGUAACUUUGCAUACCAUUCCCUCAAUCUCUAUUAGAAUCUAUUUUUUUAUAAAAGUGACUAGGAAGACCAGAAAAUCGAAUCCAUGUGAGGACCAUAUUAAGGUAAGGUAAAAUAGCGUUAAAUCAAUCGUCAAUGGUUGAACGAUUAGAUAAUGGCCGAAAGUAACCCAUGGAACUUGGGAGAGGAUCUUAUCAUAGUCAUCAGUGCUUUGAUAUUUAGCGAGAAAAUAACCAUUCUCUAUAUCUAUUAAUUGAAAAGGCUUAGAUGGUCUCCAAAUCCCAUUUAAUCUAUUAUGCAAAGUCGUGAUUCCAAGGUUUCGACCAAGCAUCUUGAGUACCACAAAGGUUGACAUUUCUUUUUCCUAGAGCUGAUAUACUCUCUCCAAGAAAUUGAUUGAAUGAACACCAUUAACAAACGAUUUCUUGACGUCCUACUCUGUGAGGGAGAAAUUAUCAACAAGGAAGUGGCCAUUAUUUGUAUUAUUCUACACAAAAGUAUCCUUCCCCACUAGCAUAUCUUUUCAAGAAAGAGAAGGAGUUGGUGUGACUCCACAACUAUCAUAUCUUCAGGAAUCACGUCCAAUUCCGUGAAUCAAACCUUCUUAGUGUUGGAAUCCUUAGGAAGAGAAUCACCUUCUCUAUUGUUGUCCAUAUUAGAAACCGAAGAAGACGAGAGCAUAUUUUCUAUUACCGCCGUUCUAUUUUUGCUCUUAAAGUUUUUACAUAAAGACAUUAGGUUAAUAGUUUAUGAGAUUUUAGAGUUUAAAACACAUGAAGAAACAAAAAGAAAAAUCAAUAAAAAAAAACUAUUUUAGGAAUUUAAAAUCGAUGAUAAUCAAAACUAAAAAUUUAUCAUCUUCCUAUCUCAUUAUUUAUUAUUAUUUUCCUUUAGCAACUCAAGAAAAUUGAAUCCAACGUUAAUUACAAAGAAAAUCAGAUCAGAAUCAAAAUUAAAUUCAAAAAGUGAAGAUUUUUGGAAUAAUCUUUCUUGCCAUCUUUGAAAUAUAGUUUUAAGGGUAAAUUAUAAAAAUAGUCAAUUUUGUUUGUUUUAUAUUACAUUUUAGUUGGUAUUUAAAACCUAUUUGGACUACUAUGUAGAACCGUCGUUAGAGAUGUAACGGAGUUCAACGGUAGAGUAAUUACUUUGUAACAAUAUGAUAAUGUAAGUGACCAAAACGUAACAUUAUAUUUCAAACAUAAAUGACUAAUGUAAUAUGAGGUAAAUAAAAAUAAUUAUUUUUAUAACUUACUCUAGUUUUAAUUGUUUUAGGUCUACGCAUUGUAUGGUAGUUUUUUAUUUCACACUUGCAAUAUUUUUUGUCAAUUUCUCUUCCCAUAUUAAUAGGAUUAAAAUAAAACCUAUAAUAUAUGAAAUCAUAGGAGAAAUUCUUAAAACCCUAACUAUAAUUUAUGAAAUUCAACUCUACAUUCAUGGACAUCGAAUUCAACUGUGAUAGAAAUUUUAAACUCGAAUAUUAAUUAAUUUAAUUAGUUAAGUUGACAAGCUCGCAUCCUGAGAAUUGUUUAUGGCACUUGGAGGGCUCAUGUCCAAUCUUCAAUACAAUUAAAAGUAAAAUAUUCAUUUAUAUAUAUAAACAUCAUGCGAAAAUAUAUAAAAAAAAACAGAAAAAUCAAUUAUCAUAUUCAAUUACAUAGAAAACUAUAUUACACAUACAGAUUUUGAUUCUUCUCUCUAGUUUACUUUCGAUCUAGGGUCCAUCUGACUUGAUUUUGGAUGGACGCAAUUGCUUCAAAGGUCGUCGAGACUUGAUCAAGAAAAUGGGUUGGAACCUCCUUUCUUCAUUUCAUUUGGAUCAAAAGACAAUUUUCUUCAGAAUUGAUAUAGUAUUCGUCGGAAUUUUUUGAAGUUCUUCAUCUUCUUCAGAGAUUUCUACAGAGAUCUUAUAGGCUUUUUGAAUUUCUUGGCCCUCUUUUUAUAGUGUCAAUUACUUGAAUAAAAGAGAAUUUUAGUAGAAUUUAACUGCUUCAUUUGAUUGUUUUACAAGAAUUUAAACUCUUUUUAUUUAUUAUUUAUCUCUUAUUAAUUUAAUUAAUUAGAGAUAAAAUAAUCAUUUAAUAUUAUCACUUAAUUAUUUUAUUUUUUUAAUUAGUAAUAAUAUAAAAUUUUAUUGUUUAUCUCUUAAUUAAUUUAAAUUAAUUAAUGAAAAUAAUUAUAAGUUAUCAUUUUUUUACCUUAGUAAUUUUGGCUUUACCCAUAAUAAUUUCGACUUGACAUGUGGUGCUUUAUGAUUGGUUCAAAAUUUUUCUUUGUCUACAUAUAUAUAUAUUAAAUCAAGUUCUAAUAUCACAUGUAAAAAUUUAAGGUCUUGAAAUCAUGCAAAAAAAAAACCCUAAUAUUGUAUAAAAAUAAUAAUUAUAAGAUGUUGAGGCAAGUUUUUUUCUUGAAAUUAUUGGCUAAGUGCCAAUCAAAUGUGGUCACUUCCAUCAACAAUAUGAUAGGCUACUUAUCAUAGUUGAAGCUGGCAAUUAAAAAAAAAAAUUAGGCUUUGAAUAGUGUUCAUAUUAUGGAUAUAUGCAAGCUCGACUUUGAAGGUCAAUCCUUUUAAAGUAACUUUCUUUGAAGGAUGGAUUGGUUUGGAUCAAGCAAUUGCAUCCCUUAGAUUGUGGAAAACGGAUCGAGAUCAAUUGAAGAAUUAAUUUUCAUCAAUCCACUUUACAUUGGCAUUUAUUAGUAUAUUGUAUUUUUCUAUUUUGUAGUUGCUAUUGUUAAGGGGUUGGAUUGUAAUUGAUCUCUAGUAUGUUAGCAAAUCUUAAAAAGGCCUAUAUAUUGAGAGACUUGUAUAGGUUUAUGUAUUGAGUAUAUAAAGCAUUUUAUUGUUCAUUGAGGAAUGUUAUUGUGAGUGCAUUUGAGAGUAAACAAUUUCUAUUUACAACCUAAAUUCUCAGGGGGAAAAUUCAAAGGUGGGUGUUAUAUGUCUUUAAGGUACAAAAGUAAGGUUGUUAUACUAGGAGAGUGAUAGAACUUGAAUCACUUAUUGUAUUGGGGAUUAAAAAUAGUGGAAUUAGUCACUGAACUAGACUUUACAGACAUAGGGAAAUCAAACUAUGUAAACAAUCUCUUGUGUCCUUUGUUUACUCUAUUUUAGUUUGCUCAUCGUAGAGGCACCUGAAGUUGCCACUUCAAUCAAACACUACUAUUCAACACUCAAUGUUUCAAACUAAUUAGCAAUUGUUCAAUUUAACAAUUGGUGUAAUUCCCCAAAAUCCUAUUUAUUUAUUUUUUGUAUGUCUAUAACAUAAGUGUGUAUUCACUUCAAUGGUUAAAUGUUCUGGGUGUGUAUGGGAAGUCUCAAGUUCAAGCCAUGUCUUUGGAAAAUUUUGGUAUUUUUAUGAAUAAAGCCUUAUUCUUGUUCAAUAGGCUUAAGUUUAAAUGUUAGUAAGAUUAUACUAGAAUGGGCCUGUUGGUCUGAUGGAUAAGAGGAGUGCUGGUGUUGUUGGAGGUCUGGAGUUAGAUUCCCUGCGCGAGUAAGGGAUUUAUUUUUACUGCUAGUGCCAUGUAGGAGUUUGAUUUCAGUGAAAUGCUAGCUAGUGGAGAGGUUGAUGGAGAAAAUUAAGGAGUGGGUGAUAAGAGAGUUGUCAGAAUCUGAGUAGUUGCUUCAAUUAGGAAUUUUUGGUUUCUCUCUUUCUCUCAAAAUUUUCUCCCUUUAUUGCCGUGUUCUUCACUAUUCUCCUUUGCUACCGAUUUUUGCUUUCAUCUUUUUGCUGAGAUUACUCUCUCUUUCUCUUUUUCUCCUUGGUUGUUACUUUGAUUCGUGUCUUGACCUCUCUUCUGUUUUUCUGCGCUUCGCUCCUAUCGAUUGAUCAAUAAGUAUAGUUUUGUUUGACUUUAUCUGAGUUUUGGACGAAUGCUAUUAAGGUUUUUGACUGGUGGUUAGGAGUUAUUCAGAGGACUGAUUAUCGUUCUUGAAUGAGUUAAGCGUGUAGAAGUCACCGUUGCUCGUGAAGGUAAGGUUAUCGGUAUUUUUCGAGAGUUAUUUAUCCCUUAACAAUUCGAUUUAGGUGACUGAAACUGGACUUCCUAUUGUCAAAUAUAGGUUCCGGAGUGCUCGGGGGUGAUUUUACGUAAAAAACGACAAGGUGUUUACUCUGAUUGCAUAGAAAACGAUAGUCAGCGAAAGCUGAAAAAGCGUUCUGUCAACGCCACACGGGUGUGUGGUCGCCCGUGUGGUAGGCCGUGUGGUAGUAUACGGGCGUGUGACUGACGAACCAGGCGUGCGCGCGUAACACGGGCGCGAUAGACAUAACCAUGUGAGGACUGGUGAGGCCGUGUGCGAGACACGGGCUCAGCUAUUUGGGCCUUGUGGGCCACACGGACAUGUGGGCCACACAAGCGUGUGAAAAUUCGAGCAAAGCCAUGUAGAAAUUUGGGCCGUGUGGUCCCACACGGGUAGGCCACAUGGGCGUGUGAGCCCAUUUUUCUGCAAUGUUCUGUAAGGUUGCACAGGUCGCCCAAGUCGACUGUGACCUGUCGUAGGGUCAGUAAGCCUUACUUAGACCCUUGUUUCUGUGAUAUGAUAUUGUGUUGCACGUGUUAAUAUAUAUUAUAUCUAGCAUGUAUCUAUGUACUGUUCUGAAUAUAAACGUAUGAUCUAUUUACCUGCAUUAUAGCAUGCCACAUUGUAUGAGGCAUUGUAUCGGGGUGGGUUUGAUGAAGUGAAGGAAGUAUCUGAAAGACUUCAUAAGCCUAUUAUCUGGUAGCUAAGCUGCAUAUUUAUGACAUAUACUGCAUUGCAGUACUUUAUGGUGUGUAGGGUUGGAUGGGUCAAUUUUAUCCCCAUAUUUGGUGUGCAGGGAUGGGAGGGUUGAUUUUAUCCACACAUGGUGUGUUGGGUUGGACGGAGUUGGUGUGCAAGGUUGGUGGACAUGUUCUAUUAUUCUAAUUUGUUAUGCAUGAUAUAUAUAUAUGUAUAUAUAUAUAUCUGAGAUGGGCUAAAGCCCUAAGUCUGUAUCUGGUUCUGUUUCUGAGUGGCCCAAGGGACCCACAACUUCUAUAAAGGGUUCAGGCCUGAAUUAUGACUGUAUUUUGCUAUUUGACUGUAUGCAUGUUGAACUGUGGGGAUGUACACACUGAGUUGCGAAAACUCACUCUUUAUCUGUUCGAUCUGUUCAGGUAAUCCCCAACAGUAUAUGGAUCAGUGCAGCGAAGGACUCGAUGGUGGCCACAUACUUUUGGACGAUUUUAAAUUCAAUUUUGGUAUUUCUUUCUUAAUUAUUUUCUAGGUUAAGGUUAAUGUAAUUUGAGGACUUUAUGGACUUUAUUUGGAUAUUUAAAACGGUUUACGGGAUUUUAGCUUAA
RNAcentral lists this long non-coding RNA (5737 nucleotides) under Gossypium barbadense (sea-island cotton). RNAcentral's name for it is "long non-coding RNA (GBAR_LNC006564)". Lineage: Eukaryota; Viridiplantae; Streptophyta; Magnoliopsida; Malvales; Malvaceae. The record is from RNAcentral.